UACAGAGGGUGCGAGCGUUGUCCGGAAUCACUGGGCGUAAAGGGCGCGUAGGUGGCGACCCAAGUCGAUGGUGAAAGCUCGCCGCUCAACGGCGAGUCGGCCACCGAUACUGGGUUGCUGGAGCACUGUAGAGGCAGAUGGAAUUCCGGGUGUAGCGGUGGAAUGCGUAGAGAUCCGGAAGAACACCGGUGGCGAAGGCGGUCUGCUGGGGCAGUUGCUGACACUGAGGCGCGACAGCGUGGGGAGCAAACAGG
Molecule: ribosomal RNA, 254 nt
Filed under: uncultured bacterium
Lineage: Bacteria
Description: partial 16S ribosomal RNA
Rfam family: Bacterial small subunit ribosomal RNA
Source: RNAcentral